GGGCACGUGAGGCUUUUGGCCUUAAUCUUAGGUGUUAUUAUUUUGCAGGUGCAUUUUUGUCAAAUAAAAAAUAACAGAAAUUUGCAUCCACAACAACAUACAAGACAAUACUACAACAACCAGCUCAACCCCCUUAAUGUGUUUUUGCUGAGCUUGUCGACGUGAUUGAUGGAACUAACUCCCCCUUAAUGUGUUUUUGCUGAGCUUGUCGACAUGAUUGAUGGAACUAACUAACGUGUUUAUUAAGAGAUGUGCAUCCAAUAUUCCAGAGUUUGAUAUUAUAAGCAAGGGAAAUUUAAGAUCAGUUGCGUUGGCGCUCAUGGGGGUGAUGUAUUGAUCUUAUCACUCUUCUAUGAAUAAUUAUUAGUAAUAAUGUCAUUUUAUGUUUUUGUUUUGGGAUGAGCUAAGAUACAUACGCCUCGUCUAGUCUUUAAUUAGGAUUGAAUUAGAAUGAUAACUCAUAAAAUUCAAAGUAUAUUAAAUGCCAAGAUGAAUGAUUUUUCUUUUUUUUUUUUACUAGAAGGGGAUUAGAUAUAAAGAAAUUUCUCCCUUAUGAUCCUCUUAUUUUGAGGAGAGAUUUUUCAAUAUACCGAAAACAUGGUUCAGUACCCAAUCGUCAUAAUAUACAAGUGAUUUGAUAUUUGAAAAAAAUUUCAACCAUUUAUAUUAUGACAUUUAGUGUAACAUGCCGUGUUUUUAGUACAUUGAAAAUUUUCUCUAUUUUGAGGGGUUUGGAAACAACAAGUUUCCUUAAGUAAUUCAUCUGCUACUUACCAAACAAUUUUUUUUUCAUGUUUUCCUUCAACAUACCUUUGUAUUGUGAGUUCAAUCCUAAGGAUUAAACCAGGCCGUAGUAUAAUUAUUUUUGUCACGGUAAUUAAUUACAUUUGGAGUUGAUUAUAACUCCUAACAUAAAUUAACUUCAUCUUCAAUAGAUGUGAGUAUCAAUGACAUAAUAAUCCAUCAGAACCAUACUUGGCAGUUGGCACUUCCCUGUGAAUUAGCCGUUGUUUUCAAUAGCACAGAGAGUACACAAAACCAAUACUUUGGAAAUUAUUUAUUUAUUUAUUUAUUUAUUUUGCACAUAAACUCCGCCGUGUAAGUUUAU
Molecule: long non-coding RNA, 1108 nt
Filed under: Malus domestica (apple)
Lineage: Eukaryota; Viridiplantae; Streptophyta; Magnoliopsida; Rosales; Rosaceae
Description: long non-coding RNA (MDOM_LNC006987)
Source: RNAcentral